CCCAGACGCAGACUUCUGCUUGCUUGAAUUUUCCACUAAGCCUUUGGAUCUAGCCCCACCCUGCAUUUGCUGACCUCACAGACCUCACUCUCAUGAUCUGAGUGGGGCUACAGUCACAUCAGGGAGACAGACCCUUGAUCUGCCAGGAGCCUAUGAGGAAAAGGGGCGUCAGGUCAUCUAGAGGACUCCUGAGGUGUUUGUCCGGACUCUCCCCCUGUCUUUUUUUUUUGUCCCCCUGUCUUUUAACACCAUCUUCUGAUUUGACAUAUGGCCUCAGGGAGGGAGACAGGCCUUCUUUCUCUGGGUUUGCAAGCUGUAAGGAUCAUAAGCCUGGAGUUGCUGGUGGUCAUCUUCCCCACGUGAGAACAUUCAAGAUCUACUCUCCUAUCAACUUUCAAACAUAUAAUUAACUAUAGUUACCAGGUGGUACAUUAGAUCCCCAGAACUUACUCAUCUUCUAACAGGAAGCCUGUACAUUUGGAUCAACAUCUCCCCAUUCCUGCACUCCCAAGCCCCAGCAACCACAAUUCUGCUGUUUUGAUGGGUUUGGGUUUUUUGUUUGUUUGUUUUUAAUGAGAUGAUAUGGUAAUUUG
Molecule: long non-coding RNA, 593 nt
Organism: Canis lupus familiaris (dog)
Lineage: Eukaryota; Metazoa; Chordata; Mammalia; Carnivora; Canidae
Exons: 2
Source: RefSeq, a predicted model, not a curated record